CCGUCCUACGGGAGGCAGCAGUGAGGAAUAUUGGUCAAUGGGAGAGAUCCUGAACCAGCCAAGCCGCGUGAGGGAAGACUGCCCUAUGGGUUGUAAACCUCUUUUGUCAGGGAGCAAUUGGCGCUACGUGUAGCGUUAUCGAGAGUACCUGAAGAAAAAGCAUCGGCUAACUCCGUGCCAGCAGCCGCGGUAAUACGGAGGAUGCGAGCGUUAUCCGGAUUUAUUGGGUUUAAAGGGUGCGUAGGCGGACGGUCAAGUCAGCGGUAAAAAUGCGGUGCUCAACGCCGUACAGCCGUUGAAACUGG
This 305-nucleotide ribosomal RNA is filed under the name uncultured bacterium. RNAcentral describes it as "bacterial SSU rRNA". It matches the Rfam family "Bacterial small subunit ribosomal RNA", at positions 334 to 636 of the family's 1533-position model. The record is from RNAcentral.